RNAcentral lists this transfer RNA (71 nucleotides) under Elaphrus cupreus. RNAcentral describes it as "tRNA-Val". It matches the Rfam family "tRNA". From Rfam's summary of the family: Transfer RNA (tRNA) molecules are approximately 80 nucleotides in length. Their secondary structure includes four short double-helical elements and three loops (D, anti-codon, and T loops). Lineage: Eukaryota; Metazoa; Arthropoda; Insecta; Coleoptera; Carabidae. The record is from RNAcentral.
CAAAUUGGAGCUUGAUUAGUAAAGCAUUUUAUUUACAUUAAAAAGAUAUCGUGCGAAUCGAUUUAAUUUGA